This 501-nucleotide ribosomal RNA is filed under the name uncultured bacterium. RNAcentral describes it as "partial 16S ribosomal RNA". It matches the Rfam family "Bacterial small subunit ribosomal RNA", at positions 30 to 523 of the family's 1533-position model. The record is from RNAcentral.
AUUGAACGCUGGCGGCAGGCUUAACACAUGCAAGUCGAGCGGGGGAAGGUAGCUUGCUACCGGACCUAGCGGCGGACGGGUGAGUAAUGCUUAGGAAUCUGCCUAUUAGUGGGGGACAACAUCUCGAAAGGGAUGCUAAUACCGCAUACGUCCUACGGGAGAAAGCAGGGGAUCUUCGGACCUUGCGCUAAUAGAUGAGCCUAAGUCGGAUUAGCUAGUUGGGGGGGUAAAGGCCUACCAAGGCGACGAUCUGUAGUGGGUCUGAGAGGAUGAUCCGCCACACUGGGACUGAGACACGGCCCAGACUCCUACGGGAGGCAGCAGUGGGGAAUAUUGGACAAUGGGGGGAACCCUGAUCCAGCCAUGCCGCGUGUGUGAAGAAGGCCUUAUGGUUGUAAAGCACUUUAAGCGAGGAGGAGGCUACUCUAGUUAAUACCUAGGGAUAGUGGACGUUACUCGCAGAAUAAGCACCGGCUAACUCUGUGCCAGCAGCCGCGGUAA